AGAUUAGGACGCAGACACACACAGAGGGAAGACCAUGUAAAGACAGAGAGAAGAUGGCCAUCUAUAAGCCAAGAAGAGAGGCCCCAGAAGAAAUGAACGCUGCUAAUACCUUGAUCCAGGGCUUCUUGCCUCCAGAAUGACUGGGGUGAUUGGUUUCGUGAAGAGGACCGCAAAGGUAAGGUGCCAUUUUUAUCACAUGAAGUCAAGAGCACAUUCAUACUAUGUAUAGAUAGUACAUACUAUCAGUAUGACUGUUGACCCUGACUUCAAUCACCUGAUUGAGCUAGAGUUUACCAGGUUUCUCCAAUGUAUGAUCACUUGUCCUCUCCCCCUUUCCUUAUUAUACUUUUGUGUCCGGAAUUGGUGGGUUCUUGGUCUCACUGACUUCAAGAAUCAAGCUGCGGACCCUCACGGUGAGUGUUACAGCUCUUGAGGUGGUGCGUCUGGAGUUUGUUCCUUCUGAUGUUAGGAUGUGUUCGGAGUUUCUUCCUUCUGGUGGGUUCGUGGUCUCGCUGGCUCAGGAGUGAAGCUGCAGACCUUCGCGGUGAGUGUGACAGCUCAUAAAGGCAGUGUGGACCCAAAGAGGGAGCAGCAGCUGGAUUUAUUGCAAAGAGUGAAAGAACAAAGAGUCCACAGUGUGGAAGGCAACCCCAGCGGGUUGCCACUGCUGGCUCGGGCAGCCUGCUUUUAUUCUCUUAUCUGGCCCCACCCACAUCCUGCUGAUUGGUCCAUUUUACAGAGAGCGGAGUGGUCUGUUUUGACAGGGUGCUGAUUGGUGCGUUUACAAUCCCUGAGCUAGACACAAAGGUUCUCCACGUCCCCACUAGAUUAGCUAGAUACAGAGUGUGUUUUAGGUUCAUCAUCAAAUCAGAAUCCCUGAAGUGAGGCCUGAGUUUGGCGAUGGAGAUGUGCCCUGGGUGAUUCCAAUGAAGAGCCACUAUCAAGAACCACGGACUUAAAUGGCCAAUAGAGGUUCCCCACACCCACCAUCAAUAACUAUAUCUCCAAAAAGAAUGAAACACAAUAUGUGGCUACAGAGAACUUUUCAUAAACGCUACCCAUUAAUAAAUAUUAAAUCUUGUUUUGUGCCAAAUAUAUAUUUUACAUUAUCAAAGUGCUCAAGAAAUUUGGAGGAUACAGAAAAAUAAAAAUGCAUGUAUAUCUAAAAAGUCAUCACAAAGAGAAUCACUGUUCAUGUUUCUUCUUUCCAUUUUAUUUCAAUGCUUUGUCUUUUCUUUUUCUUUUCUUUU
Molecule: long non-coding RNA, 1250 nt
Filed under: Homo sapiens (human)
Lineage: Eukaryota; Metazoa; Chordata; Mammalia; Primates; Hominidae
Description: HSALNT0010385
Source: RNAcentral